CACACAUGCCAACUUUUGGGCAAGUCAAGAUAAGGGAACAGCUACAUUGUUUUUCGCAGAAUUUAGUAAUGAUGAAGAUAGUAACUAUGAACCCAUUUGCUACCCUGUGUCUGGUCUAUCAACACAAGAAGUCCGCUGCUGUUACUGUGAGUAUCAAGGAGUCCGGAUUGUACAUCCAGUCGAGAAGUGUUGGGAGGGGGCAAGUGGCUUCGAGAGAAUUGCAUGUGGAGAACACAAUUUUACAAACGCAGAUUUUGUGAGUCGUGCGAAGCUGAUAGAUAACCAGGUGAUGGGAAUAUUUGUACAAGACUACAUCUACCUAGAUCCUCCUUAUGAUGCCAAGUUAAUCCAAGCUGUCAACCGUGCUGAGUCAGUGAUGAAUCUUGAUUUGGAUGCUGAGAUGCGAAGGAGAAAAUCAGUACAUGCUGCUGGUCAUUAUCCACAACAAGCUUCAUUUCUGACCUAAUUUCGCAACAGGCAUGUUCAUUUUUCCUUGCAAAUUUUUUAUUUGGAUGUUAAUUGAAUGCAUUCAUUUAUUUUAUAGGGAGUGUUUCAGCAAGCUUUCAGUGAGCAUGUAAUCCCAAGUCUUGGGACAAAUCGUAGGACAAAGAAACUUAAUCUGUAAUGAUAAAUAGUAUUUCUCUCUCA
Long non-coding RNA from Panicum virgatum (switchgrass), 648 nucleotides. RefSeq lists it as uncharacterized. The record is from RefSeq and is a predicted model, not a curated record. Lineage: Eukaryota; Viridiplantae; Streptophyta; Magnoliopsida; Poales; Poaceae. The transcript has 2 exons.